GGUAGCGUGGCCGAGCGGUCCCAAGGCGUUGGUUUAAGGCACCAGUCUCUUCGGGGGCGUGGGUUCGAAUCCCACCGCUGCCA
Molecule: transfer RNA, 83 nt
Filed under: Rhipicephalus sanguineus (brown dog tick)
Lineage: Eukaryota; Metazoa; Arthropoda; Arachnida; Ixodida; Ixodidae
Description: transfer RNA leucine (anticodon AAG)
Rfam family: tRNA
About the family: Transfer RNA (tRNA) molecules are approximately 80 nucleotides in length. Their secondary structure includes four short double-helical elements and three loops (D, anti-codon, and T loops).
Source: Rfam by way of RNAcentral